AUCCAGUUGACGAGUCCGAACUAGGACGAAAUACGCAUCUAGGAU
Molecule: non-coding RNA, 45 nt
Filed under: Trichobilharzia regenti
Lineage: Eukaryota; Metazoa; Platyhelminthes; Trematoda; Strigeidida; Schistosomatidae
Source: RNAcentral